RNAcentral lists this ribosomal RNA (322 nucleotides) under Rhipicephalus sp. Cyprus 7. Its description in RNAcentral is "partial 16S ribosomal RNA". The record is from RNAcentral. Lineage: Eukaryota; Metazoa; Arthropoda; Arachnida; Ixodida; Ixodidae.
GNNUCUGCUCAAUGAUUUUUUAAAUUGCUGUGGUAUUUUGACUAUACAAAGGUAUUGAAAUAAGAUUUUAAUUGAAUGCUAAGAGAAUGGACUNUCAGAGAAAAACUUUUUUUAAAUUAAAAAUUGAAAUUUUUUUAAUUUGUGCAGAAACAAUUAUUAAUAUUAAGGACAAGAAGACCCUANGAAUUUAUUAAAUUUCAUUCAAUAUGUAAUUANUAUUGAAGAAAUUUUGGCUGGGGCGGCUAAAAAAUAUUUUAAACUUUUUAAAAAUAAAAUGAUCCAUUAUUAAUGAUUAUAUGUUAAAUACUCUAGGGAUAACAGC